GCCCUGAUAGUAUAAACAUUACUUUGGUCUUGUAAACCAAAAACGGAGAAGAAUAUCUCCUCAAGGCA
This 68-nucleotide transfer RNA is filed under the name Lemniscomys bellieri (Bellier's striped grass mouse). Its description in RNAcentral is "tRNA-Thr". The record is from RNAcentral. Lineage: Eukaryota; Metazoa; Chordata; Mammalia; Rodentia; Muridae.